Molecule: ribosomal RNA, 468 nt
Filed under: uncultured bacterium
Lineage: Bacteria
Description: partial 16S ribosomal RNA
Rfam family: Bacterial small subunit ribosomal RNA
Source: RNAcentral
GACGAACGCUGGCGGCGUGCUUAACACAUGCAAGUCGAACGGAAAGGCCCUGCUUUUGUGGGGUGCUCGAGUGGCGAACGGGUGAGUAACACGUGAGUAACCUGCCCUUGACUUUGGGAUAACUUCAGGAAACUGGGGCUAAUACCAGAUAGGAGCUCCUGCUGCAUGGUGGGGGUUGGAAAGUUUCGGCGGUUGGGGAUGGACUCGCGGCUUAUCAGCUUGUUGGUGGGGUAGUGGCUUACCAAGGCUUUGACGGGUAGCCGGCCUGAGAGGGUGACCGGCCACAUUGGGACUGAGAUACGGCCCAGACUCCUACGGGAGGCAGCGGUGGAGAAUAUUGCACAAUGGGCGGAAGCCUGAUGCAGCAACGCCGCGUGCGGGAUGACGGCCUUCGGGUUGUGAACCGCUUUCGCCUGUGACGAAGCGUGAGUGACGGUAAUGGGUAAAGAAGCACCGGCUAACUACGUG